This 492-nucleotide ribosomal RNA is filed under the name uncultured bacterium. RNAcentral describes it as "partial 16S ribosomal RNA". It matches the Rfam family "Bacterial small subunit ribosomal RNA", at positions 29 to 507 of the family's 1533-position model. The record is from RNAcentral.
AUUGAACGCUGGCGGCAUGCUUUACACAUGCAAGUCGAACGGUAACAGGCCUUCGGGUGCUGACGAGUGGCGAACGGGUGAGUAAUGCAUCGGAACGUACCCAGAGGUGGGGGAUAACGCAGCGAAAGCUGUGCUAAUACCGCAUGUGAUCUGAGGAUGAAAGCGGGGGACCGAGCAGCAAUGUUUGGCCUCGCGCCUUUGGAGCGGCCGAUGUCGGAUUAGCUAGUUGGUGGGGUAAAGGCCUACCAAGGCGACGAUCCGUAGCUGGUCUGAGAGGACGACCAGCCACACUGGGACUGAGACACGGCCCAGCCUCCUACGGGAGGCAGCAGUGGGGAAUUUUGGACAAAGGGCGCAAGCCUGAUCCAGCAAUGCCGCGUGCGGGAAGAAGGCCUUCGGGUUGUAAACCGCUUUUGGCAGGAACGAAACGGUGUCCGCUAAUACCGGGCGCUAAUGACGGUACCUGCAGAAUAAGCACCGGCUAACUACGUG